Long non-coding RNA from Mesocricetus auratus (golden hamster), 468 nucleotides. RefSeq lists it as uncharacterized. The transcript is spliced from 3 exons. The record is from RefSeq and is a predicted model, not a curated record. Lineage: Eukaryota; Metazoa; Chordata; Mammalia; Rodentia; Cricetidae.
UAAGUGUCACCUGUACUUUCUUGUAGGGAAAAGCAUCAACAACGAGGCAGCAGGGGGACAGUGACACCAGGCCUAGAGUGCAGGAAAGUCUUGGUGUUGCCAUGGAGGCAUGUCCAGGGCUACGGACUGUGUCCCAGCUGCAGAGCCAUGCCGAUGUCUGUCCUGCAUCUUCUGAGGACCCUCUGUAGGUGAAGACAGAUUACAGAGGAAGAAGCAGGAGAAAUGAGGUGCCCUCCCCUAGACGGCUCAUCACAAACCCUGUCUCCACAUCUUCCUUUUGUGUUCAAACUGUGUUCAUGGUGGCUUCUUUCUUCAUGUCUCUCAGGGGAGCAGGACACAACCUUCAGAUACAGGAGAAGUGCGGCCUGAUAUGUGACUUCAAUCAAAAUGAUUGAUCUCCUCAAACCCUGAAAAUAUUUCUGUUACUUCUGGAAUUUAUUGUUCGAAUAAAUGAUAUAUUUAAUGCAA